Long non-coding RNA from Corvus hawaiiensis (hawaiian crow), 4967 nucleotides. RefSeq lists it as uncharacterized. The transcript has 2 exons. The record is from RefSeq and is a predicted model, not a curated record. Lineage: Eukaryota; Metazoa; Chordata; Aves; Passeriformes; Corvidae.
GGCACCGCACUGGGGCACCAGUGUCACCCUGUCACAGGCACCGCACUGGGGCACCAGUGUCACCCUGUCACACACCCCAAACCUGGGCACUGGUGUCACACUGUCACAGACACCAAACCUGAGCACCAGUGUCACCCUGUCACGGACACCGAACCCAGGUACUGAUGGCACCCUGCUACAGACAAGAAACAGACUUUUUGUUCAUAAAAGGCAUGGAUCUACAGAGGAGAUUGGUUCGAAACAAACUGUCUCCUAACAAUUAUCCCAGGAUCUUGCAGAUGCUGGAAUACACUGUUAGCCACUCAAAGCAACCCCCUAAAAACAAAAAGUUAAGUCUAAGGGCGUGUUCCUUACAGGCAAAAUGCAAUGAGAGGCUGCAUGAGCAAAUCAGGUUGUAGGUGCUUCUGUCUAUUGAAGAUUAUAUUGCACACUGACCUCAGGCAGUUCUGAUGUGUAAAAGAGCUAAUGAGAUCGCUCUGACUGCAUUCAGGCAGUUUGGAGCAGCUAAAAUAAAUCAUUAGGAGGUAUAAAAUAUAACAGUCUUUUUAAGUAAAAAUUCUGGGCCAAGGUAACACAUGAAAUUUCUAUUUGCAGCAGGAGCUGAUGUAGCAAUCUCAGUGUACACCUGGACCAGGAGAGCUGAGAAAACCAUGGUUCAUAUUUCCAGGUACACCUUCCUUCCCUCAACCUGUAGGGCAGGACCAUAUUGCACUUAUUGUGAGAGGACAAAAAAAAAGGCAUAUAAACUUAAACACAUGCUUUAAUCUGUUUAAAUUAAGAUUUACUCCUAGGUAUCAGCUCUGUGGAAGAACCUUGCAAAUCUCACAGAGAGCCAGCGAGCAAAAAAUGCUCUUGCGUGGAAGAUAACCUGUGACCAAAGAGACAAAGGAAUUUUGCACAUUCCAUCCUUGCGUGCUAGCACUGUGCACCUCUGAGAACUGUCGGGUACACCCUACCACGGAUGGAGCUGAAGACAGCAAUAAAGGUGUAAUACACGUGGCUGAUGUGAAAAUACACUUAUUACCAAGAAAAAGGGAGCUACAAUACGUUUUAUAGAAGAAUGAGUAGCUAGAUUGUCUGGCAUGAAGAAAAAGUUAAUCAAUGGUAAAUUUAAACUUACCAUUUUCAAAAUCUGUUACAUGUCCUCUUGCAGCACAAACCUGGCAAUAUUUUGUCAGGAAACAAACCAGAAAGAAUUACGGGGCGCUUCCUCACUCAAAUAAUGCAUUAAGUGAUUACUUCUAAGCAGGUAAAUUGACAGACCUACCGAAAGCUCUAGAUAACAUCUCAGUUUACAUGCCUGGUGUGAUUAAGUGGGCCAACCAUCCUAUCUGAUAUUUUAUAAUACACAUGUAAGACUCGAAAAGAGAUCUACCAGUGAAUCAUUGAGUACUCCCCUUUAAUGGUCUAACAACAGAGUAGGAUUGACAUAAUUUCAAAGAGAUCAAUGAACAUUUUAGCCAGAAGCUUACUUGUGUCUAAUGCAGGAGCAAUAACUUUGCUCCACUCUAUUAUUCUGUCAGUGCUGUCUGUACAGAAUGCCCUGCCCUUAAACUCAUCUGCCACUGGGAUACAAUCCAAUGUUUAUUUCCAUUAGUUUAGCCAUUGUUGGUAACAAUAAAAAUCGGGAGACAGUUGCAAACUAAUGAUUUACAGGUAGAAUAAAACACGGGACGACCUUGGCUGCCUUCCAUCCACCAAGAAAAUGACUGGUAGUUAGAAAUAAAUUAAAGUCAUUGCAAGAGGAUAGCAUACGUUAUUUCUCCAAUAGGUAAUUUUACCAGCUAAAUAGCCCUGUCAUUAAACUAGCAGCUGUUUUACAAAUUAUAUUCCAAGAUAAAAAAAGAAAUUACACCUUCCACAGUUGUUGCAGUGUUAAGAAUGAUGAAAAUCCCAGUCCUAUAGGAGCUGACAGAAAAGGAGCUCUGAUGUGGUAAGGCUGAACACAUACUCUUGGCUGGGCUGUACUCAGCUGAAUUACUCUUAUGAAAGUUAAAGAGAAAAGAUCAGGUAAGUAUAUCCAUUAUCGCAAAUAGAAAUUCCUUUACAGGUGAUUCCAGAAGAAAAAAAGCAAUCUCCCCUGACUGGAAUUUGUAGUUAAUGAAACUUUAGAACUCUGUUUUGCAAUUUAAGUUAUUCUGAUAAAACAAAACCAUCAGCAAUAUACUCUGCAUAUUUUUGACAGUGACUGCAGUGAGACUUCUUUUCCUUUGACCUUUACCCAUUUUUAGAAAUCCCUCAUGCUCCAUUCCUGUUUAACAACCUCUUUUUUGGCCAAUGGAGAAUAAAUAAAAAGCAAACUAUUCAAACAGUUGCAGUGGGGUACUACAAAGUGGUGGUCUAUGCAAGUAUAAUUUAUAAAAUAUAUUCUGGUUUUCAGAUGUACAGCUAGCCAAAAAUCAACAUGUGGAAAGAGUUUUCAUGUUUGCAAAAGUACAUCUCCAAUGUCAGUCAGGAAUGGAAAUGUACUUUAUAGUUGUGAUACCCCAUCACUGGUCAAAAAACCCCACAACUGACAAAAGAAAAAGAAUUCAAAAAGAUGAAGGGUGGUUGUAUCUUUCCUGCUUUUAAUAUUUAAAACAGAAAUUCUGGUUUUGUCUGCUCAGUGUUAAGCACCAGUUUCAAAGCAGCAUGGGACUUCUCAGAGAACUGGCCACCAACUAUUUUAAAUCCCAAGCAAAACAGGCUAACUAUUUUUCCCAAUUCCUCUAAUGAAGUAAUUAAUAUUCUGCUUGAAACUUUCAAGAUCGUUUCAUCUGCAGAAUAUGCCAGACCGUGAGAAUUCUAACCCCACUUGCCUGAGCAGCAGCAAAGCAGUAAGAAACUGAACACGGGAUCCCAGAGAAGGAAGCACUGGGAAACCUUUCCAGCAGGAAUGUUCACAGCCCCAUCUCUAAUUAUUAAAGAGAUGCAUAUCACCAGUGUGGUCACAAAGGUGCAGCCCCAGGUGAAGCAGUGCCUGCCUCCACUGCUGGGCUGCAGGGAACCACGGUGACUUGGCUGUUCUGCCCCUGUGGGCCGGCACUGGGGAGGCAACAGGGCAGGGCAGCCCCAGACACUGACAUGCCGUGACAGAGCUGGCACCACACAGACAAGGCAAUCUGGAAUCAAUCCCUCCUGGCUGCUGCUCUGGAUCUGGGCACAGCCAGACUACUGCAGGCAAACCUUCCCUCAAAAACACAGGCAAGCACACUGAAACACCACGGACAAGCAAUCCUUUAAAAAGCUCAGGAAAGAUGAUCAAACGAAAAAGCAAAAACCUGGCAGAAUUUUAGACAUUAAAUACCAUUAGGAGCCAUUUUUCCCAUCAAAUGCUGUACACAACAUUAAUGUGAAUAUUAUAAUGCUGACAACUUGUUCUUGACUGAAUUAUGAAGCUAAUAAUUUACAAAUAAAGGAUGCAAUAUUGUGUCAAUGUCUUAUGUUGCUAACUGCAGCAAAUUAGUAUACUUACCUGGUAUUACAUAGCUGAGACAUUUGUUUGGCAUCAAGUCAGGCCGGUAAGAGGGAUUAGCGUGCUGUCCACUUUCUAUAGACCGUAUUUUUCCACAGCAGAUGACACAUGAAAGCUACAAGAGAACCUGCUCUGUUUUCUCAGAUUUACUCCUCUCCCAGUGCAGUGUUUCUUUGUGUUUGAUGUACAGGGUGUUACAACCAUCAGAGUUUGGAUUCAGGGCUAAUCUGGUCAGACAUUCAGGAGUACCUGGCUCAGAAUGGAGAGCAGCAAGAGCUGCUCCUGAACCCUACCUGAGAUAAUGAGCCCACCUUUACUCAGACUAUGAAACAAUAAUACCAAAAACUGUUUAGAGAUUGAGGGUGUUAUCUGGCUGUAUAACAAAGUUCCUAAAAACAAAUGUUUUAAAAUUCAUGAUUGUCAAGAACGUUAGUAUGGUCUGACAGACAAAAUACUGCGCUGGUUCUCAAAAAAUCACCAAUUUGCUUAGGUUUGGUCAAAGAAUAGUAUUUCCCUUGUAAAAUGGGGUGUAUACCAUUUACCUGGCAAUUUCACAACCAUGACAGAAUCCCAAAUCACUAAAUACCAUUGUGCAAAUACCAUCGUGCAAAGGUGUUAUGAAGAGGACUGCAGUUUUGCCACCAAAGACACCUAUAUAGUUGGCACCCAAUAAUUUUUGGCAGAAGCCAAGCCUAAGGUUUAGAAAUUUGUUAUGGUGAAUAUGACAGACUCAAAAUUAGCGUUAUGAAAUGACACACUGUCUACAGUUCUUCCUAAUGCAUCACACAGACAAGGCAAUUCACCACCACCAGGAGUUCAUUGCAGAAUCCUAGGCUGAGAUCCAGGAGAUCUGGACCUAAAUCUAAAAAGCCAGUUGGGGACCUAAAUAUUGAUGGGUUUGUAUCUUAAAAGUACCUGCCAUAAGCCAGGAGUGGAAGCUAGAAAUCCUCAGGAUUUAUUUGGACUGCAUCUCAUAGUUACCCUUUCAACUGAAACAAGAAGUAAAUCACCCGGGGAUCAUUCUGUUGUGGUCUAAUGGUCUCCUCAACACUCACCUAUCCUGAGCCUCGACAUCUAUCCCUGGUUUCUACUUUAAAGCAAAUUAGUCAAGAACUCAUUUGCAUAAGACAAAUGGCAAAACCUCCUGGCUCAUUGCCCCAAAAAAUGGUUUUACACCUAUAUGUAAAUAUAUUCAUUUGAGAUAUUUCAAACUUUACCUUCCCCUAUCUCUAGACUGAAUCACUGAACAUUUUGGGGGCCUGGGAAGGAUCUUAAAUCUUGACUUGCUUCCAGGAACUGGAAGCUUCUACUGCAACAUUUUGAACUUGCCAAGAGUCUCUGACUGACCUACAGGGAAGCCGCCUUCUGCAUUCAAAGCAGGGAAAUUCAUUAGUUUUUAACUGCACAUACUUUUCCUAGGAAUACUAGCUGCAGUCUCCAACAAUGGCUUUUGUAUGUUAGUACUAUGUCAAGCUAGCUGUACUCAUUCAAUAAAUUACAUACCGGAACCAUU